This 1266-nucleotide ribosomal RNA is filed under the name Microbacterium testaceum. Its description in RNAcentral is "bacterial SSU rRNA". It matches the Rfam family "Bacterial small subunit ribosomal RNA", at positions 82 to 1360 of the family's 1533-position model. The record is from RNAcentral. Lineage: Bacteria; Bacillati; Actinomycetota; Actinomycetes; Micrococcales; Microbacteriaceae.
GCUUGGUGGAUCAGUGGCGAACGGGUGAGUAACACGUGAGCAACCUGCCCUGGACUCUGGGAUAAGCGCUGGAAACGGCGUCUAAUACUGGAUAUGAGACGUGAUCGCAUGGUCGUGUUUGGAAAGAUUUUUCGGUCUGGGAUGGGCUCGCGGCCUAUCAGCUUGUUGGUGAGGUAAUGGCUCACCAAGGCGUCGACGGGUAGCCGGCCUGAGAGGGUGACCGGCCACACUGGGACUGAGACACGGCCCAGACUCCUACGGGAGGCAGCAGUGGGGAAUAUUGCACAAUGGGCGGAAGCCUGAUGCAGCAACGCCGCGUGAGGGAUGACGGCCUUCGGGUUGUAAACCUCUUUUAGCAGGGAAGAAGCGAAAGUGACGGUACCUGCAGAAAAAGCGCCGGCUAACUACGUGCCAGCAGCCGCGGUAAUACGUAGGGCGCAAGCGUUAUCCGGAAUUAUUGGGCGUAAAGAGCUCGUAGGCGGUUUGUCGCGUCUGCUGUGAAAUCCCGAGGCUCAACCUCGGGCCUGCAGUGGGUACGGGCAGACUAGAGUGCGGUAGGGGAGAUUGGAAUUCCUGGUGUAGCGGUGGAAUGCGCAGAUAUCAGGAGGAACACCGAUGGCGAAGGCAGAUCUCUGGGCCGUAACUGACGCUGAGGAGCGAAAGGGUGGGGAGCAAACAGGCUUAGAUACCCUGGUAGUCCACCCCGUAAACGUUGGGAACUAGUUGUGGGGACCAUUCCACGGUUUCCGUGACGCAGCUAACGCAUUAAGUUCCCCGCCUGGGGAGUACGGCCGCAAGGCUAAAACUCAAAGGAAUUGACGGGGACCCGCACAAGCGGCGGAGCAUGCGGAUUAAUUCGAUGCAACGCGAAGAACCUUACCAAGGCUUGACAUAUACGAGAACGGGCCAGAAAUGGUCAACUCUUUGGACACUCGUAAACAGGUGGUGCAUGGUUGUCGUCAGCUCGUGUCGUGAGAUGUUGGGUUAAGUCCCGCAACGAGCGCAACCCUCGUUCUAUGUUGCCAGCACGUAAUGGUGGGAACUCAUGGGAUACUGCCGGGGUCAACUCGGAGGAAGGUGGGGAUGACGUCAAAUCAUCAUGCCCCUUAUGUCUUGGGCUUCACGCAUGCUACAAUGGCCGGUACAAAGGGCUGCAAUACCGUAAGGUGGAGCGAAUCCCAAAAAGCCGGUCCCAGUUCGGAUUGAGGUCUGCAACUCGACCUCAUGAAGUCGGAGUCGCUAGUAAUCGCAGAUCAGCAACGCUGC